RNAcentral lists this ribosomal RNA (253 nucleotides) under uncultured bacterium. Its description in RNAcentral is "partial 16S ribosomal RNA". It matches the Rfam family "Bacterial small subunit ribosomal RNA", at positions 524 to 776 of the family's 1533-position model. The record is from RNAcentral.
UACAGAGGUCUCAAGCGUUGUUCGGAUUCAUUGGGCGUAAAGGGUGCGUAGGUGGCGCCGUAAGUCGGGUGUGAAAUUUCGGAGCUUAACUCCGAAACUGCAUUCGAUACUGCGGUGCUUGAGGACUGGAGAGGAGACUGGAAUUCAUGGUGUAGCAGUGAAAUGCGUAGAGAUCAUGAGGAAGACCAGUGGCGAAGGCGGCUCACUGGCCCGAUACUGACGCUGAGGCACGAAAGCGUGGGGAGCAAACAGG